UACGGAGGGUGCGAGCGUUAAUCGGAAUAACUGGGCGUAAAGGGCACGCAGGCGGUCUUUUAAGUGAGAUGUGAAAUCCCCGGGCUUAACCUGGGAAUUGCAUUUCAGACUGGGAGUCUAGAGUCUUUUAGAGAGGGGUAGAAUUCCAGGUGUAGCGGUGAAAUGCGUAGAGAUGUGGAGGAAUACCGAUGGCGAAGGCAGCCCCUUGGGCAUGUACUGACGCUCAUGUGCGAAAGCGUGGGGAGCAAACAGG
This 253-nucleotide ribosomal RNA is filed under the name uncultured bacterium. Its description in RNAcentral is "partial 16S ribosomal RNA". It matches the Rfam family "Bacterial small subunit ribosomal RNA", at positions 524 to 776 of the family's 1533-position model. The record is from RNAcentral.